GAUGAACGCUGGCGGCGUGCCUAAUACAUGCAAGUCGAGCGAACAGACGAGGAGCUUGCUCCUCUGACGUUAGCGGCGGACGGGUGAGUAACACGUGGAUAACCUACCUAUAAGACUGGGAUAACUUCGGGAAACCGGAGCUAAUACCGGAUAAUAUAUUGAACCGCAUGGUUCAAUAGUGAAAGACGGUUUUGCUGUCACUUAUAGAUGGAUCCGCGCCGCAUUAGCUAGUUGGUAAGGUAACGGCUUACCAAGGCAACGAUGCGUAGCCGACCUGAGGGGGUGAUCGGCCACACUGGAACUGAGACACGGUCCAGACUCCUACGGGAGGCAGCAGUAGGGAAUCUUCCGCAAUGGGCGAAAGCCUGACGGAGCAACGCCGCGUGAGUGAUGAAGGUCUUCGGAUCGUAAAACUCUGUUAUUAGGGAAGAACAAAUGUGUAAGUAACUAUGCACGUCUUGACGGUACCUAAUCAGAAAGCCACGGCUAACUACG
Molecule: ribosomal RNA, 495 nt
Filed under: uncultured bacterium
Lineage: Bacteria
Description: partial 16S ribosomal RNA
Rfam family: Bacterial small subunit ribosomal RNA
Source: RNAcentral